RNAcentral lists this long non-coding RNA (256 nucleotides) under Elaeis guineensis (African oil palm). RNAcentral describes it as "long non-coding RNA (EGUI_LNC069683)". The record is from RNAcentral. Lineage: Eukaryota; Viridiplantae; Streptophyta; Magnoliopsida; Arecales; Arecaceae.
UCCUUUCCAGCAGUAUUUUUCAGCACGUGUGACAAGCCUCUCGGCUCUCGCCCCCCCAUCUCAUUCUGCUCCACCUCCGAAAUCCCAACCCUAGGGGGAAAAGGAUGGGAUAGAUUCCAAGGGCAGCAAGGGCAAUGACAGCGACGACGAUGACCUGUUUCAAGAAGAAUCGGAAUUACCCCAGAGGCAGCGGUGGCGCCGAAGACAUGCGCCACCGCCAUGUGCUCCAUGACAACCACCGUCCCGGGUGUUCUGG